This 86-nucleotide transfer RNA is filed under the name Frischella perrara. RNAcentral describes it as "tRNA-Leu". The record is from RNAcentral. Lineage: Bacteria; Pseudomonadati; Pseudomonadota; Gammaproteobacteria; Orbales; Orbaceae.
UGGUGCGGGUAGUGAGAUUUGAACUCGCACACCUUAUCGGAACUAGAACCUGAAUCUAGCGCGUCUACCAAUUUCGCCAUACCCGC